RNAcentral lists this long non-coding RNA (702 nucleotides) under Populus trichocarpa (black cottonwood). RNAcentral describes it as "long non-coding RNA (PTRI_LNC000763)". The record is from RNAcentral. Lineage: Eukaryota; Viridiplantae; Streptophyta; Magnoliopsida; Malpighiales; Salicaceae.
CAUAAAACACUAUUCAUUAUCUUUUCUAUCAAAACCCUAGCCAUCAUAUUUUUAAAAAAGAAUAUGAGCUUAAAUAUGGAGAAACAAACCCUAGAAAAACAUUAUUCAUCUUCUCAUGCCUUUCUUAAAAAAAAAAACCCUUAACCUCGUCUCUCUCUAUCUAAAGCCAAAACUCUCCCUUAACUUGUCUCAUUUCCAACCUUCAUUUUCAAAGAGAACAUCACCGUUAUCUUCAUCUCAAAUCCUUCUAAUAAAGCCCUUAAUCAUCUUAAAACAACAACUCAUGCAUCAACACCAAUUAAAGAUAAAGAGAAAAAAAAACCCCUGAAACUUCUGUAUUUGAUUUUACUCUCUUUUGACCUCCAAACAAGGUAAAAUCACCGUUAUUCUUCUCCCCUUAAUGAGUACUACACAACCAUACAAGUUUCAUAACUUAGUAACCUCUUUGUGAGAAUCUAAAUAGAGAAAACCGAGAUAACAAUAAGAGAACCUUAACCACUAAACAUUCAAAGUGUUGAGUCUCCCUCAUCGGUUAGCGGUGACCUGCAUCGCUGCACAAGGAGUGACACAUAAUGCUAGCCCAUCCAAGCGUCGAUCAAUUAUUGAUGGCGCAUGGAAUGAUGCGCCAAACAUGAUAACCCACUCUUGGAGUAUGAUUGUCACAUGCCAACACUGCAUCUCUCGGUUCCAUAGUAUUUCUCC